This 651-nucleotide long non-coding RNA is filed under the name Homo sapiens (human). Its description in RNAcentral is "non-protein coding lnc-PGAM5-3:3". The record is from RNAcentral. Lineage: Eukaryota; Metazoa; Chordata; Mammalia; Primates; Hominidae.
GCUUCUUCGCGCCUCCCGGCCCCGGCCUGGCGUCCGUGGGGCGCUGUGCGUCUCCGAGAACGAAGCGGCCUCCGGGUUCGUGUGCUCCGAGCCCGAGUACUGUUUGCGGCCGUCGUCCCGUCCUGGAGCAGGAGUGAGGAAGCGCCUCUCACUCCCCCGCGAACCCGCAGAACAGGCCGCCGGCGCUAUGGAGACCGGCGGAGCUUCCCGCUCCUUCACCAAGGGGCCCUGACGCGCAGUUGAAAGCGCGGAUUUUGCCGGGCGCGGCGGCUGCGUCCGGAGUCCCAGCGCCUUGGGAGGCGAGGCGGGAGGAUCCCCACGGCCCGGGAGCUCGAGACCAGCCCGGGCAAAUAUUUUGAAAGUCAUGAGCGGGACGGAAGGUGGGACUGGGAGAGCUGUUCUCGGGCAGGUGGACGCUGUGGAUUAGCGGAGAGGGAAGGCACUUUCGUUCUCGGCACCGUGAGGCUGUCCUGGUCAAUCCUGUUUUCAUGCUUGAGGGUCUCUGGUGCAGCAGCUCCACCAGCCUUGACACCAGGACUUCUGUGGAAUCCAGACGGAAGCUUGUGUAGAGGCCGCCAAGUUCCAACAAAUGCUCCCGACUGUAGACGCCACCAAGUGCUGGGACUUGCUCUCGUCAUCUGGGAAAGGCUU